RNAcentral lists this ribosomal RNA (1398 nucleotides) under uncultured bacterium. RNAcentral's name for it is "bacterial SSU rRNA". It matches the Rfam family "Bacterial small subunit ribosomal RNA". The record is from RNAcentral.
AGAGUUUGAUCCUGGCUCAGAACGAACGCUGGCGGCGCGUCUUAAGCAUGCAAGUCGAACGGCAAGGCAGGUGCUUGCACCUGCCCUAGAGUGGCGGACUGGUGAGUAACACGUGGGUGACAUGCCUUUUAGUUGGGGAUAGCUACUAGAAAUAGUAGAUAAUAUCGAAUGUGAUCAAUAUUUAUAGAUGAUGUUGAGGAAAGGAGCUAAGGCUUCGCUAAAGAUUGGCCCGCGGCCCAUUAGCUAGUUGGUAGGGUAAAGGCUUACCAAGGCGAUGAUGGGUAUCCGGCCUGAGAGGGUGAUCGGACACAUUGGGACUGAGAUACGGCCCAGACUCCUACGGGAGGCAGCAGCUAAGAAUAUUCCACAAUGGACGAAAGUCUGAUGGAGCGACGCCGCGUGGAUGAUGAAGGCCGAAAGGUUGUAAAAUCCUUUUACACUGGAGGAAUAAGCAGAGUAGGGAAUGACUCUGUGAUGACUGUACAGUUUGAAUAAGCAACGGCUAAUUACGUGCCAGCAGCCGCGGCAACACGUAAGUUGCGAGCGUUGUUCGGAAUUAUUGGGCGUAAAGGGCAUGUAGGCGGAUUUGCAAGCUUGAUGUGAAAUCCCGCAGCUUAACUGCGGAACUGCAUUGAGAACUGCAAGACUAGAGUUACUGAGGGGAAACUAGAAUUCCAAGUGUAGGGGUGAAAUCUGUAGAUAUUUGGAAGAAUACCAAUGGCGAAGGCAAGUUUCUGGCAGAUAACUGACGCUGAGGUGCGAAGGUGCGGGGAGCAAACAGGAUUAGAUACCCUGGUAGUCCGCACAGUAAACGAUGUACACUAGGUGUUUGACCAUGAGGUUGAGUGCCAUAGCUAACGCAAUAAGUGUACCGCCUGGGAAGUAUGCCCGCAAGGGUGAAACUCAAAGGAAUUGACGGGGGCCCGCACAAGCGGUGGAGCAUGUGGUUUAAUUCGAUGGUACGCGAGGAACCUUACCUGGGUUUGACAUAUACUGGAAUGUUAUAGAGAUAUAGCAGCGUAGCAAUACGCCGGUAUACAGGUGCUGCAUGGCUGUCGUCAGCUCGUGCCGUGAGGUGUUGGGUUAAGUCCCGCAACGAGCGCAACCCCUACUGUCAGUUGCUAACAGAUAAUGCUGAGGACUCUGGCGGAACUGCCGGUGACAAACCGNCGGAAGGUGGGGAGGACGUCAAGUCAUCAUGGCCCUUAUGUCCAGGGCUACACACGUGCUACAAUGGUAGAAACAAAGCGAUGCUACACUGCAAAGUCACGCAAAACGCAAAAAAGCUAUCGUAGUUCGGAUUGGAGUCUGAAACUCGACUCCACGAAGUUGGAAUCGCUAGUAAUCGCGCAUCAGCACGGCGCGGCGAAUAAAAUCCCGGGCCUUGCACUCUCCGCC